RNAcentral lists this ribosomal RNA (253 nucleotides) under uncultured bacterium. RNAcentral's name for it is "partial 16S ribosomal RNA". It matches the Rfam family "Bacterial small subunit ribosomal RNA", at positions 524 to 776 of the family's 1533-position model. The record is from RNAcentral.
UACGUAGGUGGCAAGCGUUGUCCGGAUUUACUGGGCGUAAAGAGCGCGCAGGCGGUCGUUCAAGUCGCGUGUGAAAGCCCCCGGCUCAACUGGGGAGGGUCACGCGAUACUGAUCGACUCGAAGGCAGGAGAGGGAAGUGGAAUUCCCGGUGUAGUGGUGAAAUGCGUAGAUAUCAGGAGGAACACCGGUGGUGUAGACGGCUUUCUGGCCUGUUCUUGACGCUGAGGCGCGAAAGCUAGGGGAGCAAACGGG